Molecule: long non-coding RNA, 419 nt
Filed under: Salmo salar (Atlantic salmon)
Lineage: Eukaryota; Metazoa; Chordata; Actinopteri; Salmoniformes; Salmonidae
Description: lncRNA (ENSSSAG00000097770.1)
Source: RNAcentral
UUUCUGCUCAAAAUCUUUUCAGGUGUUGUUUUUCUCACUUCUACACAUCCUCCCCUCCUCAGUGUCAGAGGUCAGGGGUCAGCCACACAUUCUGCUGUCGGUGUAGGUCUACACAUCCUCCCCUCCUCAGUGUCAGGGGUCAGCCACACAGUCUACUGUAGGUGUAGGUCUACACAUCCUCCCCUCCUCAGUGUCAGGGGUCAGGGGUCAGCCACACAGUCUACUGUAGGUGUAGGUCUACACAUCCUCCCCUCCUCAGUGUCAGGGGUCAGGGGUCAGCCACACAGUCUUCUGUAGGUGUAGGUCUACACAUCCUCCCCUCCUCAGUGUCAGGGGUCAGCCACACAGUCUACUGUAGGUGUAGGUCUACACAUCCUCCCCUCCUCAGUGUCAGAGGUCAGGGGUCAGCCACACAGUCU